Molecule: ribosomal RNA, 456 nt
Filed under: uncultured Leptolinea sp.
Lineage: Bacteria; Bacillati; Chloroflexota; Anaerolineae; Anaerolineales; Anaerolineaceae
Description: bacterial SSU rRNA
Rfam family: Bacterial small subunit ribosomal RNA
Source: RNAcentral
AGACGGGACCCGCACAAGCAGCGGAGCGUGUGGUUUAAUUCGAUGCUACACGAAGAACCUUACAGGGUUUGACAUGUAAGUGGUAGUGAUCUGAAAGGCGACCGACCCUUCGGGGAGCUUGCACAGGUGCUGCAUGGCUGUCGUCAGCUCGUGUCGUGAGAUGUUCGGUUAAGUCCGCUAACGAGCGCAACCCUCGCUGUGUGUUACAAGUGUCACACGGUACUGCCGGUCUUAAGCCGGAGGAAGGUGGGGAUGACGUCAAGUCAGCAUGGCCUUUAUGUCCUGGGCUACACACACGCUACAAUGGCCAACACAAUAGGUUGCUAAGCCGCGAGGUGGAGCCAAUCCUCAAAGUUGGUCUCAGUUCAGAUUGCAGGCUGCAACCCGCCUGCAUGAAGAUGGAGUUGCUAGUAACCGCAGGUCAGCUAUACUGCGGUGAAUACGCUCCCGGGGCUU